GAUGAACGCUGGCGGCGUGCCUAAUACAUGCAAGUCGAGCGAACAGACGAGGAGCUUGCUCCUCUGACGUUAGCGGCGGGCGGGUGAGUAACACGUGGAUAACCUACCUAUAAGACUGGGAUAACUUCGGGAAACCGGAGCUAAUACCGGAUAAUAUAUUGAACCGCAUGGUUCAAUAGUGAAAGACGGUUUUGCUGUCACUUAUAGAUGGAUCCGCGCCGCAUUAGCUAGUUGGUAAGGUAACGGCUUACCAAGGCAACGAUGCGUAGCCGACCUGAGAGGGUGAUCGGCCACACUGGAACUGAGACACGGUCCAGACUCCUACGGGAGGCAGCAGUAGGGAAUCUUCCGCAAUGGGCGAAAGCCUGACGGAGCAACGCCUCGUGAGUGAUGAAGGUCUUCGGAUCGUAAAACUCUGUUAUUAGGGAAGAACAAAUGUGUAAGUAACUAUGCACGUCUUGACGGUACCUAAUCAGAAAGCCACGGCUAACUACGUG
Molecule: ribosomal RNA, 497 nt
Filed under: uncultured bacterium
Lineage: Bacteria
Description: partial 16S ribosomal RNA
Rfam family: Bacterial small subunit ribosomal RNA
Source: RNAcentral